This 105-nucleotide transfer RNA is filed under the name Colletotrichum chlorophyti. It matches the Rfam family "tRNA". From Rfam's summary of the family: Transfer RNA (tRNA) molecules are approximately 80 nucleotides in length. Lineage: Eukaryota; Fungi; Ascomycota; Sordariomycetes; Glomerellales; Glomerellaceae. The record is from Rfam by way of RNAcentral.
GCGGACAUAGCUCAGUUGGGAGAGCGUCAGACUGAAGUAGACCUCGGUUCUCCAAACUUCAUUCCAUAUAUCUGAAGGUCGUGUGUUCAAUCCACACUGGCCGCA